This 21-nucleotide non-coding RNA is filed under the name Caenorhabditis elegans. Lineage: Eukaryota; Metazoa; Nematoda; Chromadorea; Rhabditida; Rhabditidae. The record is from RNAcentral.
UCAACAGUAAAAAUUCAGAGA